GAUGAACGCUGGCGGCGUGCCUAAUACAUGCAAGUCGAGCGAACAGACGAGGAGCUUGCUCCUCUGACGUUAGCGGCGGACGGGUGAGUAACACGUGGAUAACCUACCUAUAAGACUGGGAUAACUUCGGGAAACCGGAGCUAAUACCGGAUAAUAUAUUGAACCGCAUGGUUCAAUAGUGAAAGACGGUUUUGCUGUCACUUAUAGAUGGAUCCGCGCCGCAUUAGCUAGUUGGUAAGGUAACGGCUUACCACGGCAACGAUGCGUAGCCGACCUGAGAGGGUGAUAGGCCACACUGGAGCUGAGACACGGUCCAGACUCCUACGGGAGGCAGCAGUAGGGAAUCUUCCGCAAUGGGCGAAAGCCUGACGGAGCAACGCCGCGUGAGUGAUGAAGGUCUUCGGAUCGUAAAACUCUGUUAUUAGGGAAGAACAAAUGUGUAAGUAACUAUGCACGUCUUGACGGUACCUAAUCAGAAAGCCACGGCUAACUACGUG
RNAcentral lists this ribosomal RNA (497 nucleotides) under uncultured bacterium. RNAcentral describes it as "partial 16S ribosomal RNA". It matches the Rfam family "Bacterial small subunit ribosomal RNA", at positions 28 to 507 of the family's 1533-position model. The record is from RNAcentral.